RNAcentral lists this ribosomal RNA (484 nucleotides) under uncultured bacterium. RNAcentral describes it as "partial 16S ribosomal RNA". It matches the Rfam family "Bacterial small subunit ribosomal RNA", at positions 30 to 507 of the family's 1533-position model. The record is from RNAcentral.
AUUGAACGCUGGCGGCAGGCCUAACACAUGCAAGUCGAGCGGCUGAAGGGAGCUUGCUCCUGGAUUCAGCGGCGGACGGGUGAGUAAUGCCUAGGAAUCUGCCUGGUAGUGGGGGAUAACGUCCGGAAACGGGCGCUAAUACCGCAUACGUCCUGAGGGCGAACGUGGGGGAUCUUCGGACCUCACGCUAUCAGAUGAGCCUAGGUCGGAUUAGCUAGUUGGUGGGGUAAAGGCCUACCAAGGCGACGAUCCGUAACUGGUCUGAGAGGAUGAUCAGUCACACUGGAACUGAGACACGGUCCAGACUCCUACGGGAGGCAGCAGUGGGGAAUAUUGGACAAUGGGCGAAAGCCUGAUCCAGCCAUGCCGCGUGUGUGAAGAAGGUCUUCGGAUUGUAAAGCACUUUAAGUUGGGAGGAAGGGCAGUAAGUUAAUACCUUGCUGUUUUGACGUUACCAACAGAAUAAGCACCGGCUAACUUCGUG